Cercocebus atys (sooty mangabey) is the source of this 502-nucleotide long non-coding RNA. RefSeq lists it as uncharacterized. The record is from RefSeq and is a predicted model, not a curated record. Lineage: Eukaryota; Metazoa; Chordata; Mammalia; Primates; Cercopithecidae. The transcript is spliced from 3 exons.
UUCUGACGCAAAAUUGGUUAAACAUACCUCCUCAUCCCCUAUUUAAAAACCAAAACUGCAACUUCUACUUGUGGUCAUGAUGGAAUAACAUGGGCCUGAUUUACUCUGUACAUUAAGCAACUGAAACUGAGAUAAAAUAUACAAAAGAGUUUUCAGAUGUUGUACAACAUGCAACAUGGGACGAUGCUCUUUGAAAGAAGAGAAACAAAUCAGGUGAACCUAUAAUUGCCCCAGCUCACUGCCUGGAAAGAUAAACCUGCACAGGCAAGAGAAACUCCAACACAGCCUGGCAGAUAUUCUGAACCAAACAGAUGAAGUUGAGAAUCCAGAGAGGUGGAGUCCCGAAUUUACAGUGCCUUUCACCUCCUGCCAUGAUUCUGAGGCCUCCCCAGCCAUGUGGAAAUGUGAGGACCCAGUGUUCACCCCUCCUGCCACGUGAGGAUGCCCAGCAAGAUGGCCCUCACCAGAUAUCAAAUGCCAGAACUUGAUCUUGGACUUCCCA